Molecule: unclassified non-coding RNA, 2499 nt
Filed under: Ceratitis capitata (Mediterranean fruit fly)
Lineage: Eukaryota; Metazoa; Arthropoda; Insecta; Diptera; Tephritidae
Description: uncharacterized LOC110117665, transcript variant X1
Source: RNAcentral
GUGAGUGCUAUACGUAGAUGGGGACAAGGUUUGAGAGAAGAAACCAAAGGAUAGAGUUCAGUGCAGCUCUAUUCCUGAGACCGUCCAUACGUGGCGAAGAGUCACAUCCUGCACGAGGUGUCCUUGCUUUAACAAAAUAUGGCGGAUCUAGAGAGGACAACUCGAUAAAACCCGUAAUCCCAGGUGUUAAUCGGACCGUGCUUCGGGAUGAAUGGCACUACGUAAGUGUGUCUUUGAACGGUGAACUCCAGAUACCUGGCAUCCUCUGGUUUCAAAUAGCCUUUCCGUGGUACAUUGGGGCUAUGCCACGGGCGACAUAACAUCCCCUACACUCGUGGGAACAAAAAUGUCUAGAAACUUAAAUGUAAAAUACUUAAAAAACCAAAGAAUACCAGAAGAAAAUGAUAAAUUUUUAACAGGAAAGGCCAAAGGGAUAAUCAAACGUUACAAUAAAUUGAUUGCGUUUGGUAUUCAUCAUAAGGAUGCUAAAUUACUAGCGUAUAGUCAGAAAGAAACAGCUCAAAUUUUUAACAAAUCAAGAAACAUCGCUACGGACAAUAUCAGAGGUCUGAUAACUCUUGACAAAGACACUGAAGAUAAGGUACAAGAAGCUUUUCAAUUUGAGCGUCAACGUGAUAUAUUAAGAUAUUUUCUAAGGCAAGGUGUUACAAUGGAAGAAGCCAUGCCUUUGGCUAGAGAAGCUGGCGAAAAUAACGAAGCUUUCGACAGAAUCCAAGCCAAGCGUUUUGUACGCGAACAACUUAGAUCUAUAAAAGCUUCUACGGAUGCAAUUGCGGUCAACGGAGGUGCGCGAAAACGUUUCAGAAUAUUAGUUGAUAAAUUUGUUAAUCUGGAUAAGGCAAGAGAAAUAUGUCACGAUCCGUGGGAAACGAAACGAACUAUAUUUGCGCUCAGAGGCAAGGUAUUGCCACCCAAAGCCGAUGCAAACACGCCAUCGAUUUCCAAUAAACGUAACGAAACAGCAUAUACGAAAUUUAAAUCACAAAUUCGCAAAUGGGCUCGAAACGAAACCAACACACAAACAAAUGCAUCGUUUAAUGCCAACCAAUCUCAGCAAAAUCUGGUAAAUUUUAGAAACGACACAGCAACGCCAUUGACGCAAUCAGCGGAUUUCAAUUUGACUUCAAGAAACCAUGAAAUGAGGCGGAAUGAACAAAUAGCACCACCUCAGCUAUUUACCGGCUACAAUGAGUCGCUUAACCACAAUACUUACCAGCAGCAAAGGGCACAACAAGAAUUAUUUGCUUCACGAUAUGAUAACACGCCGACGCAACAGUUGCGAGACGACGCCGCAAAUGUGAAGUUAGCUGUUAUAUCAUCCGACUAUCCUUUCACCAUUUGGUCUACGGAUAUACUGAAGCGAAUACAACAAUUCAUUUCACAGGCAGCCAACGCUGAUGGAAUUGAUUUGUCAGCUCGACAUGUUAAAUGUAAUUUUCGGCCCGGUUGGAUCGUUUACAACAUUCGCGAUUUGACCACUACGCAAUGGUUUAGAGCGAGAGUUCCUAAUUUGCAACCAUGUAGUACUCCACUUAAUGUAAUCGAUGAAAAUGAAGUGCCACGAUCAGAAAUCUUUGUAGCGCAUAUCCCUGAAAGGAGGGAUAUAUCUACUAAUAGGCUGUUGGACAACAUUGCUUCCGAUAAUCGUGAUUUACGCACACAAGACUGGAAUGUUAUGGACAAAGUUCAAAGAGGUUCCAUAUGGGAACUCAAAGUUGUAAUCGAUCCAUUUUCUGCAAGAGUCCUAAAACAAAAUAACUACUCAAUUCGAUACGGACGUUCGACAGCCAUUAUAAAACCUAGACAAUCAUCGAGUACAUCUCACCAUACCGAUAACAGAAAUGAAGAUAGAGGCCACUCAUCUUAUUCAAGAAGUACGUCUAGAGAUGCCAACCGUUACAGAAGAGAAUACAACAGAAAUGAGCAUAGAGGCCGCUUAUCUUCUCCGGCAUCUUCAAGCCAGCGCCAUUUAAGAGGUUCGUCUAGUGAACAUUUUGAAAGAGGAGAUCGUAGUCAUCGAAAAAGAGAUUAUGACAGAUACGAAAAUAAUGGCUCCUCAAGACGCAGAAAUCAAGCUCACAAAUAUUCACGAAAUUAAAACAUAUAGAUUAAAUAUGUUCCUUUAUUUAAAGGCUUUUAGCAUUAAAAAAAAAAGUCUCCAAAAAAACUACAGUUUUAAUUAAACGUUUGCAUCAGCAAUUUGAACAUUUCGAAAAGGAUAACUUAUAUGCUUAUACAACAAUCCGUGAACCCUCCAGAAAAUUGGAAUUAUCAAAGGAGAUGCUCAAAUUAGUGAAAUUGAUGUGACCUGAGGGCGGAGGGAGCUAACGUGAACAUGAGCGACCGCACUUAAGGCAUUCAGCAUAUUAUUCAUUGUUUCCUUCCAACUCUUUCUUUAUGUUCUAAAUGUGAUAAAUCCAUUUCAUUGUAACCUGAUUCAUAUAACAAAAUAAUGAAAUAAAUCCUUGGAGAAACACA